Molecule: long non-coding RNA, 384 nt
Organism: Vicia villosa (hairy vetch)
Lineage: Eukaryota; Viridiplantae; Streptophyta; Magnoliopsida; Fabales; Fabaceae
Exons: 2
Source: RefSeq, a predicted model, not a curated record
AGUGGUAAAAACUAUUUAUUUAUUAACAAAGAAUGAAAUUACUACUUAUAAAAAGAAAAAAGGUUAUAUUUAUUAUAUGCAAAGAAGAAGAAAAUAUGGCUCAAGUUCUCAUAUUUGUUUAUGCAUUGCUCAUCUUUAUUUUUCUAUUUCUUGUUGAAACAAGCAAAGCAACUCCCAAUCCCUGCAAAACUGCCAGAGAUUGUCCAGAGGUUAGAGAACAUAUUGCACUGUGUAUUGAUGGUUUUUGUGAAUAUCGACAUUUGUAUAUGAUAUGAACAAAAAAAGGGUUACACAAUAAAAGGGUUACAUAAAUAAAUUAUUUUUCGUUAAAGACUCUUGCAAAUCUUAAAGGCUCUUACAUAAAUAAAAGGAUAGUUUCAAGCA